GACGCUUUAUGCGUUACCUGCUUUAAAUACCCUGCUGGAAUGACACCCGAAAUCAUGCCUUAAUAUAGCCCUGAAUGUGGCUCCGAAUCUAAAGCAGGCAAUUUUACUGUAGCUUUUAGCACCACCUUUCCGAAGCUCUCAAGGCAACAACAGGAGCCAUAUAUGAAUACAUCCAGAUAAGUUUUUGGCUAGAAAGUCAGUAAAGUAAAUGCUGGAAGGGCCAUUCCGAAGCCGUUGACUGGUUUGCACCUCGAAUUGGGAAACCACGUCUCAUCACCAUUAUGAAAUUAUAAAUGUGGGGAGUUGGAAUUGACUAACGACUUGGUCCUAACAUGUCCUCAGCGAUCCAAACAAUCGUUUAAAAUAAUAUAUUAUUAUGAAAAUUUCAAAAUGGCUCUGCCGUGUAUUGAAAUAAAUAAAUAAAAUAAAU
Anthonomus grandis grandis is the source of this 430-nucleotide long non-coding RNA. RefSeq lists it as uncharacterized. The transcript has 3 exons. The record is from RefSeq and is a predicted model, not a curated record. Lineage: Eukaryota; Metazoa; Arthropoda; Insecta; Coleoptera; Curculionidae.